GACGAACGCUGGCGGCGUGCUUAACACAUGCCAGUCGAACGGAAAGGCCCUGCUUUUGUGGGGUGCUCGAGUGGCGAACGGGUGAGUAACACGUGAGUAACCUGCCCUUGACUUUGGGAUAACUUCAGGAAACUGGGGCUAAUACCGGAUAGGAGCUCCUGCUGCAUGGUGGGGGUUGGAAAGUUUCGGCGGUUGGGGAUGGACUCGCGGCUUAUCAGCUUGUUGGUGGGGUAGUGGCUUACCAAGGCUUUGACGGGUAGCCGGCCUGAGAGGGUGACCGGCCACAUUGGGACUGGGCUACGGCCCAGACUCCUACGGGAGGCAGCGGUGGGGAAUAUUGCACAAUGGGCGGAAGCCUGAUGUGGCAACGCCGCGUGCGGGAUGACGGCCUUCGGGUUGUAAACCGCUGUCGCCUGUGACGAAGCGUGAGUGACGGUAAUGGGUAAAGAAGCACCGGCUAACUACGUG
This 468-nucleotide ribosomal RNA is filed under the name uncultured bacterium. RNAcentral's name for it is "partial 16S ribosomal RNA". It matches the Rfam family "Bacterial small subunit ribosomal RNA", at positions 28 to 507 of the family's 1533-position model. The record is from RNAcentral.